Panicum virgatum (switchgrass) is the source of this 1116-nucleotide long non-coding RNA. RefSeq lists it as uncharacterized. The record is from RefSeq and is a predicted model, not a curated record. The transcript is spliced from 2 exons. NCBI's taxonomy places the organism in Eukaryota, Viridiplantae, Streptophyta, Magnoliopsida, Poales, Poaceae.
GCAGCCACAUGCUACUAGUACUAGGUUUGUACUCAACAGUAAACUAUUUUGACAAAAUGCGAAGUGUAAUUUUACUGCUUCUCGAGCAAACUAUGCUGGUAGAGUUGCUGAUUAUCUUGGCAUGAUAAACUGAACUUUCUUAUCCUGCAUUUCUAUACUAUAAAAUCGAACAUUUCUUUCAGUAUGAGCAUCUCUAAAUCUAUCACUUAUGUCUGCAAAGUUGUGCUCUGUAGUUAGCUUUGUAUUGGACUAAUCUGUUUAGUAUAAUACCAAAACAUAUAUCACAGGGAUGAACCUGAAGUUUACUGACAGAUGUUUCAACUAAUUUUGUAGUCAUACAAAUUGUAUGUCUUGCUAUUACUUAUGCACUCUUAUGAAUAGGUAUAUGUGAAACUUCUAUGCACUAGUUCAUCACAUGGCAGUUCAUUUUCUGGAAUGAUAUAAAAAGGAGCCGUUCACAAUGGAGUAGCAGUUCACAAUGGAGUUAGCAGUUCAAAAUGCAACAGAGUUGGUGCAAAGAGUAUCAUGCAAUGUUACUUUUUACAAUGACUAUCCUCAUCUUUAAUUGUUUAUGGGAAAUACUAGCAGGGUUUCUACCCUUUCUUUCCCCUAAUGACUGAUGGCAGUUGGUGCCAUAAUUUGGCUACCCCAAGACAAAUAUGCAACACUAUAUUCAAUUGUCUCACUCAUUAUCAUUACAGAAAAUGCUCACUGCUCUCAUCUCAAUAUUUUUACACAUCUCCAUAUACUUUAUUAUGUGUUCAUUGUUUUAUGUUUAACAUUUAGGCAGUAACACAUCACCAUAUACUUAUUGCAAGUUUAUUUCAAAUUGAGGAAGCUGAACUGAGCAUUAUGAAUCUGUAUGCUGAUUCCUAAUGAUAUAUAUCAAGAAGGCGUAAUUGUAAGAGAGACAUGAUGGGUGCAACCUGGAGUAGCAUGUGAGCUCAUAUGCAUUGCUCAAGAAUCUUUUUACGUUUGUGUUAAGUAGAUCAAGUCCUGUUAGAUUGAUUCAAUAGUUUUCAACUGAGUUGAUAGUAACUUGCUACUGGAAUAUCUAUAAAUAUUUCUGCUCAUUAAAAUUACUGCAUAUCAGCAGCAAUGUAUUUGUUUUCUGUA